This is a long non-coding RNA of Candoia aspera, 963 nucleotides long. RefSeq lists it as uncharacterized. The record is from RefSeq and is a predicted model, not a curated record. NCBI's taxonomy places the organism in Eukaryota, Metazoa, Chordata, Lepidosauria, Squamata, Candoiidae. The transcript is spliced from 2 exons.
UUUUCAAAGCUUGUUCCUUUCAGAGCUAAUUUGAAAUAUCGAACAAUAAACAAGAAUGUAGACACAGAAAUUUAUUUCUGUUUUCUUUUGUUGUUAAUAGCUGUCCUUUAAAAUUUUUAAAUUCUGUUUCUGGGCACUUCUACAAAGCCACAGUUGUUACUUCCCAAGUCUUGAGGGCCACUCUGCAAAGGUCCACCAUCAUCCCACAGCAGCUGUUGCAAGAACGCAGAAUAACCAAAGAGCCCUCUCUCCAGGUAUCCAAUACAGGAGUGCCAAGUCAGCCUCCAGCCUUCAGGCCCGCUUCCUAUUCUGUUGAUUUUGCAGCAAAAAAAGAAACAAAAAUCAUGGAAGAUGUUAGCUGCCAAGCUGCCAAAUAGCCUAAUGGAAAGACUGGGGUGCUACAGCAGCACAGGAACUGGGAAUGCCAGAAGUCAGUGAUGGGAGAUCGCAGUAUGCCAUGGCUAACUUCCUUCUCUGCAACAGCAAGACUUUGGUUCGCAGGAGUUGAAAAUAAAAGACAAGACAUUCAAAGAGCCCCCAACACAUCAACUAACCCCCCCAACACAUUUUUUAAAAAAAAAAUCCCAAACCAUCCAGUUAAAACAAAGAAGACCAAGAAAAAAAAAUGUACAAAAAAAGUUUAGAAACAAAAAAAAUUAAAAAGUGUUUUGAGAAGCCAUUUUUAAAGCUCUCCAGACUUCCGGGAGAACAAUUACAGGAUCUUCUGAUCUUGCCCUCCCACUUCGGUCAAUUUGGUUUGUUUAUUUAUUUAUUUAUCUGUCUCUUUGCCGUUUAUAAAAUCUUGGCUUCUCAACACAACUUUCCAUGAGGUAUUUUUUUCAGGACAGAGAAAGAUGGUUGAGCCAUUUUGUCUUAACCAGAGAAAGUAAAGAUUUCCCCUUUAUUCCCACAUAUUUUCAUCCUUUCUUCUUCAAUUACAGUUCUUUGUGGUUCUUUCUUUUA